This 510-nucleotide ribosomal RNA is filed under the name Escherichia coli. Its description in RNAcentral is "partial 23S ribosomal RNA". It matches the Rfam family "Bacterial large subunit ribosomal RNA", at positions 2137 to 2646 of the family's 2925-position model. Lineage: Bacteria; Pseudomonadati; Pseudomonadota; Gammaproteobacteria; Enterobacterales; Enterobacteriaceae. The record is from RNAcentral.
UGUAGGAUAGGUGGGAGGCUUUGAAGUGUGGACGCCAGUCUGCAUGGAGCCGACCUUGAAAUACCACCCUUUAAUGUUUGAUGUUCUAACGUUGACCCGUAAUCCGGGUUGCGGACAGUGUCUGGUGGGUAGUUUGACUGGGGCGGUCUCCUCCUAAAGAGUAACGGAGGAGCACGAAGGUUGGCUAAUCCUGGUCGGACAUCAGGAGGUUAGUGCAAUGGCAUAAGCCAGCUUGACUGCGAGCGUGACGGCGCGAGCAGGUGCGAAAGCAGGUCAUAGUGAUCCGGUGGUUCUGAAUGGAAGGGCCAUCGCUCAACGGAUAAAAGGUACUCCGGGGAUAACAGGCUGAUACCGCCCAAGAGUUCAUAUCGACGGCGGUGUUUGGCACCUCGAUGUCGGCUCAUCACAUCCUGGGGCUGAAGUAGGUCCCAAGGGUAUGGCUGUUCGCCAUUUAAAGUGGUACGCGAGCUGGGUUUAGAACGUCGUGAGACAGUUCGGUCCCUAUCUGCC